GCUAUAUUGGUCACUGAUUUGUUUUUGUUUUGUUUUUGAAUGUCAGAAAUUUAUAUUUGUGAAUGUUGAGAUGUUAUAUUGGUUUCACUGGUAAUAAUAAAUAAUUGAAAUGGGUAUAUAUUUGUUUUUUAAGUUGCCUAAUAAUUAUGCACAGUAAUAGUCACCUGCACACACAGAUAUCCCCCUAACAUAGCUAAAACUAAAAACAAAUUAAAAACUACUUCCAAAAAUAUUCAGCUUUGAUAUUAAUGAGUUUUUUUGGGUUCAUUG
This 270-nucleotide long non-coding RNA is filed under the name Pelobates cultripes (western spadefoot toad). The record is from RNAcentral. Lineage: Eukaryota; Metazoa; Chordata; Amphibia; Anura; Pelobatidae.